CCUACGGGAGGCAGCAGUGAGGAAUAUUGGUCAAUGGACGAGAGUCUGAACCAGCCAAGUAGCGUGAAGGAUGACUGCCCUAUGGGUUGUAAACUUCUUUUAUAUGGGAAUAAAACGUUCCACGUGUGGGAUUUUGUAUGUACCAUAUGAAUAAGGAUCGGCUAACUCCGUGCCAGCAGCCGCGGUAAUACGGAGGAUCCGAGCGUUAUCCGGAUUUAUUGGGUUUAAAGGGAGCGUAGGUGGAUUGUUAAGUCAGUUGUGAAAGUUUGCGGCUCAACCGUAAAAUUGCAGUUGAAACUGGCAGUCUUGAGUACAGGAGAGGUGGGCGGAAUUCGAGGUGUAGCGGUGAAAUGCUUAGAUAUCACGAAGAACUCCGAUUGCGAAGGCAGUUCACUGGACCGCAACUGACACUGAGGCUCGAAAGUGUGGGUAUCAAACAGGAUUAGAUACCCUUGUAGUC
RNAcentral lists this ribosomal RNA (460 nucleotides) under uncultured bacterium. RNAcentral describes it as "partial 16S ribosomal RNA". It matches the Rfam family "Bacterial small subunit ribosomal RNA", at positions 338 to 795 of the family's 1533-position model. The record is from RNAcentral.